GACGAACGCUGGCGGCGUGCUUAACACAUGCAAGUCGAACGGAAAGGCCCUUCGGGGUACUCGAGUGGCGAACGGGUGAGUAACACGUGGGUGAUCUGCCCUGCACUCUGGGAUAAGCCUGGGAAACUGGGUCUAAUACCGGAUAGGACCACACACUUCAUGGUGAGUGGUGCAAAGCUUUUGCGGUGUGGGAUGAGCCCGCGGCCUAUCAGCUUGUUGGUGGGGUAAUGGCCCACCAAGGCGACGACGGGUAGCCGGCCUGAGAGGGUGACCGGCCACACUGGGACUGAGAUACGGCCCAGACUCCUACGGGAGGCAGCAGUGGGGAAUAUUGCACAAUGGGCGCAAGCCUGAUGCAGCGACGCCGCGUGAGGGAUGACGGCCUUCGGGUUGUAAACCUCUUUCAGUAGGGACGAAGCGAAAGUGACGGUACCUACAGAAGAAGGACCGGCCAACUACGUGCCAGCAGCCGCGGUAAUACGUAGGGUCCGAGCGUUGUCCGGAAUUACUGGGCGUAAAGAGCUCGUAGGUGGUUUGUCGCGUUGUUCGUGAAAACUCACAGCUUAACUGUGGGCGUGCGGGCGAUACGGGCAGACUAGAGUACUGCAGGGGAGACUGGAAUUCCUGGUGUAGCGGUGGAAUGCGCAGAUAUCAGGAGGAACACCGGUGGCGAAGGCGGGUCUCUGGGCAGUAACUGACGCUGAGGAGCGAAAGCGUGGGUAGCGAACAGGAUUAGAUACCCUGGUAGUCCACGCCGUAAACGGUGGGUACUAGGUGUGGGUUUCCUUCCUUGGGAUCCGUGCCGUAGCUAACGCAUUAAGUACCCCGCCUGGGGAGUACGGUCGCAAGACUAAAACUCAAAGGAAUUGACGGGGGCCCGCACAAGCGGCGGAGCAUGUGGAUUAAUUCGAUGCAACGCGAAGAACCUUACCUGGGUUUGACAUGCACAGGACGUACCUAGAGAUAGGUAUUCCCUUGUGGCCUGUGUGCAGGUGGUGCAUGGCUGUCGUCAGCUCGUGUCGUGAGAUGUUGGGUUAAGUCCCGCAACGAGCGCAACCCUUGUCCUAUGUUGCCAGCGGGUAAUGCCGGGGACUCGUAGGAGACUGCCGGGGUCAACUCGGAGGAAGGUGGGGAUGACGUCAAGUCAUCAUGCCCCUUAUGUCCAGGGCUUCACACAUGCUACAAUGGCCAGUACAGAGGGCUGCGAAGCCGCAAGGUGGAGCGAAUCCCUUAAAGCUGGUCUCAGUUCGGAUUGGGGUCUGCAACUCGACCCCAUGAAGUCGGAGUCGCUAGUAAUCGCAGAUCAGCAACGCUGCGGUGAAUACGUUCCCGGGCCUUGUACACACCGCCCGUCACGUCAUGAAAGUCGGUAACACCCGAAGCCAGUGGCCUAACCUUUUGGAGGGAGCUGUCGAAGGUGGGAUC
This 1425-nucleotide ribosomal RNA is filed under the name uncultured bacterium. RNAcentral's name for it is "bacterial SSU rRNA". It matches the Rfam family "Bacterial small subunit ribosomal RNA". The record is from RNAcentral.